GGAAAUACAAGAAGGGAAUAUUGGCCGUAAGUCCUUCUAUAGUAUAGCAUAAAUCAUUUUCUAGUAUAGCACAAGAGAAGAGAGAACCCAUAAGUUUACAUUACUUUAUCUCCUUGUCCAAAAUAUUCAGGAAGGGAAGGUAAAUAAGAAAAAGAAGGGCAAGGCCAAAAAAGAAUUGAAGCAAGAGAAGGCCAGUAAGACGCAACAGAUGGGAAAUGUUGGAGAAAGUAAGGAGGAGGACAAGAAAGAGGAAAAGAAUAGUCUGAGGAAGAGGUUUCUUCAGUGGCUGCUGUCCAAACUUAGAUGUUCAAAUAAAUAAUGGCCAACUAUUACUUCUACCACACACACACACACAGAUUUGAGUAUUGGUUAUUCCUACAACACACACAAAUGUAAUUUCAGAGACCAGAACUAUGAUUAACAAAAUACAUAUAUUGGUCUCAUUCUUAUAUUUUGAGACAUGCAGCAUUAUUUAAAUGAAAAAUAUAUAUUGAUCACCAUACAGCCUAUGAUAAUGAAUUGGAUUUACAUGCUUAGGCUUGGAAAUAUAGCCAGGAGAAGCAAAGGACAGCACCAACCUUAGGGCAUUGUCACUGGUAUUGGGGUCUUAGGUCUCCUUUGGCCAAAGUGAAGUUGAGUUGAGGGCCCAUUACUGGUCUCCUUGCAAUAUCUGGUCUCCCACACAGAGAUGGAAAUCUACACCUGUUUAGACCUUGGAGGAUAUGGCUUCAGAUGAAAGACAGCAGAGAGAUGCAGAACGUAAAAGCUUCAAACACAAUUGAUAUGCAAAUUCAGGACCAUUGUACACUGAAGUGGAGCAUGCAUCUGGUUUGAAGCAUGUCAAAAGAGUAGAAAUGAACUGGGACUGGAGGAAUAUAUCACAUUUAAACUAAAUUAGCAUGUAUCUGAUUUAGCUACACUAAUCUAUACUUGAAUUGUGCUGUUUGAAAAGUGCAUUUCCAAUAAAGCUUUUUAAAUUGCA
Oncorhynchus mykiss (rainbow trout) is the source of this 982-nucleotide non-coding RNA. The record is from RefSeq and is a predicted model, not a curated record. NCBI's taxonomy places the organism in Eukaryota, Metazoa, Chordata, Actinopteri, Salmoniformes, Salmonidae.